CAUGAUGGGAGCUAGCUUGCUAGAAGAAGUCAUGGCGGACGGGUGAGUAACGUGUAAAGAACUUACCAUAUAGACUGGGAUAACAGAGGGAAACUUCUGAUAAUACUGGAUAAGUUAGUAGUAGCAUUACUAAGUAAUGAAAGGUAGCAAUACGCUAUAUGAGAGCUUUGCAUCCUAUUAGCUAGUUGGUGGGGUAAAAGCCUACCAAGGCGAUGAUAGGUAGCCGGCCUGAGAGGGUGGACGGCCACAAGGGGACUGAGAUACGGCCCUUACUCCUACGGGAGGCAGCAGUGGGGAAUAUUGGACAAUGGAGGCAACUCUGAUCCAGCAAUUCUGUGUGUGUGAAGAAGGUUUUAGGACUGUAAAACACUUUUAGUAGGGAAGAAAGAAAUGACGGUACCUACAGAAGAAGCGACGGCUAAAUACGUGCCAGCAGCCGCGGUAAUACGUAUGUCGCGAGCGUUAUCCGGAAUUAUUGGGCUUAAAGGGCAUCUAGGCGGUUAAACAAGUUGAAGGUGAAAACCUGUGGCUCAACCAUAGGCUUGCCUACAAAACUGUAUAACUAGAGUACUGGAAAGGUGGGUGGAACUACACGAGUAGAGGUGAAAUUCGUAGAUAUGUGUAGGAAUGCCGAUGAUGAAGAUAACUCACUGGACAGCAACUGACGCUGAAGUGCGAAAGCUAGGGGAGCAAACAGGAUUAGAUACCCUGGUAGUCCUAGCUGUAAACGAU
RNAcentral lists this ribosomal RNA (732 nucleotides) under uncultured bacterium. Its description in RNAcentral is "bacterial SSU rRNA". It matches the Rfam family "Bacterial small subunit ribosomal RNA", at positions 65 to 810 of the family's 1533-position model. The record is from RNAcentral.